UUUAAGGUUGACCUCGGAUCAGGUAGGGAUACCCGCUGAACUUAAGCAUAUCAAUAAGCGGAGGAAAAGAAACCAACCGGGAUUGCCUCAGUAACGGCGAGUGAAGCGGCAAGAGCUCAAAUUUGAAAUCUGGCCCCUUCGGGGUCCGAGUUGUAAUUUGCAGAGGAUGCUUCGGAUGCGGCCCCUGUCUAAGUGCCCUGGAACGGGCCGUCGGAGAGGGUGAGA
Molecule: ribosomal RNA, 225 nt
Filed under: Aspergillus parvulus
Lineage: Eukaryota; Fungi; Ascomycota; Eurotiomycetes; Eurotiales; Aspergillaceae
Description: partial 28S ribosomal RNA
Rfam family: Eukaryotic large subunit ribosomal RNA
Source: RNAcentral